This 2631-nucleotide long non-coding RNA is filed under the name Nicotiana tabacum (common tobacco). Its description in RNAcentral is "long non-coding RNA (NTAB_LNC010777)". Lineage: Eukaryota; Viridiplantae; Streptophyta; Magnoliopsida; Solanales; Solanaceae. The record is from RNAcentral.
CUGGCUUACCCGAGCGGACAACUCGAGCCGAGGGGGGCUGUGUAUCGGUAAACAAAAGAUCAUCUGAUUUUGCAACUUGUCCAAACCUCGUUCUAUUUGGAAUAGGACACUAAUAGAAAGAAGUCGCGACCAGCGUGCACUCCUCAAGAAAGAGAAGAGAGGGAUUUCGUAGCAGUUUAUAUAUACAGUUCAGAUAAUAUCAAAGCGGUAAAAGAAACAUUUAGCACAUUAGGCCCAAACAUGUAAUAAAAUAAGAUAAUAAACAAAGCCAGAUAUAACGAUUAUUAUAAGCUCGAAUUCUGAACCCUGAACCAAAAGUUCUAGGUUCUUGUCCUCAGUAAAGUCGCUAGAGUUGUCACACUUCCUUUUUACCUACACCCUCGAGGGGGUAUAUAAGGGAGUUUUUCCAACUUAAAGUGACAAUCGAAACGGGAUUUAUUUAUUUAAAAUCAUUCAGAGUCACCACUUGGGAUAAUUAUGGUGUCCCAAGUCACCGGUUCAAAUCCCGAGUCGAGGAAAAGGUUGACUCUAUAUUACAGUCUGUGAACACAGAAAUCCAGGUAAGGAAUUCUGUUAAUCCGGGAGAAGGUGUUAGGCAUUCCCGAGUUCCGUGGUUCUAGCACGGUCGCUCAACUGUUAUAAUUGGCAUAUUAUCUGAUUUUAGUACAUGUUUAAACCUAUGUGCAAAUUUUAACUUAAACCGCUUUUAUUCAUUUUUUAAAGAAAAUUGCAACGUUAUUAAAACACGUCUCGAACCACGUCACAUAAAUGCACCUGUGAUUUUGACAUAUUUUAACAUCGUUGAGAUUUGGCUUUGGGUCACAUAAAUGUGCACCCGAAUUUAAGAAUGUAAUAUUAUUAAACUAACGCGCCUAAAGCAAUUACGAAUUUACAACUUUGCGAGUGCCAUGGAAAAUUCGCUAAAUCGCGCGCCUUGAUUUCUAAAAAAUAAACAAGUUAAUUAAACGAGGGCCGUGCAUUUAAGACUUUUGUUUGUCACGGCACACCUCGAAUUUCCAUACAAAAUGUGUGCCAAUAAACCAAUAACGAGCAUCACCAAGCAAAACAGAGUUGAGUCACUGAAACUUGAUACACGAACUUCAAACAAGAAUAAUAGGGAAUUGUGGAAAAAAAAAAUAAUGGCACACCAGUUGAUCUCCAAUUUUCUCACUACUGCACAAUCAACUAAUAGCAAAUAAUAAGCUAAGAACUAUGAGCUGCUAAUUUACAUGUAAGACACCGUACAACUUAACACAUUAAAUACUAAAAAUAAGUAAUCCAGUACGCUAAAUACUAUGCUAAAUGAAAACAAGGAAGAUAAAUUUCUUAUCACCUCAAUUUAAUAUACAUCCAAUGAUGAGUUCAAAACAGUAGCACCUAAAGUUAAUUUAAAAACCAAACUUUGAUUCAUGAGAUUCAACCAAAUGACAACAAACUUAAAUAUACUCCAAAAGAACAAUCGGCACAUGUUGUACAUUUGUUUAAGCUAAAGCAAAAGCUAAAGAUAAAGUUAAAGUUAAAGCAAAAGCAAAAGCAAAAGGGUACUAUUAUUUUAGUCGCUUUUAAUAUUUCGAGAAAAAUUCAAAGUUAUUUAAAAUACAUCGUAAGCCGCGCUACAUAAAUGCACCCGCGAUCCACAAUAUAUUUUAUCUAACGUUGAGAUUUGGAUUUGGGUCACAUAAAUGCGCACCCGAGUUUAGGAAGGUAAAUUAUUAAAUAGCACGCCUAAAGCAACUACGCGUCUUUAAAUUUGCGAGGGCCAUGGAAAUUCAACUAAAUGGCACGCCUCGAAUUCUAAGGAUUCACAUGUUAAUUAAAUGAGGGUCAUGCAUUUGAGAUUUUAUUUGGCACUCAUGUCUAGCUAAUUGAAACCAUGGUACCACCAGCUUCACUCUCAGGGGAUACAACACCUAGCUAACUUUUAUUUUUAAGGUAAUUCUAGAGCCUACAUUUUAUAGAAACUCUCACAUGUACUGAACAACUGAACCUAGUGAGUUUUUCCAAUUAAAGGACAAUCGAAAUGGGAUUUAUAUUAAAAGUUUCAGAGUCGCCACUUGGGAUAAUUUAUGGUGUCCCAAGUCACCGAUUCAAAAUUCCGAAUCGAGGAAAAGAUUGACUCUGUAUUACAGUCUGCGAACACAGAAAUCCGGGUAAGGAAUUCUGUUAACCCGGGAGAAGGUGUUAGGCAUUCCCGAGUUCCGUGGUUCUAGCACGGUCGCUCAACUAUUAUAAUUGGCAUAUUAUCUGAUUUUACUACAUGUUUAAACCUAUGUGCAAAUUUUAACUUAAACCGCUUUUAUUUAUUUUUUAAAGAAAAUUGCAACGUUAUUAAAACACGUCUCGAACCACGUCACAUAAAUGCACCCGUGAUUUUGACAUAUUUUAACAUCAUUGAGAUUUGGAUUUGGGUCACAUAAAUGCGCACCCGAAUUUAAGAAUGUAAUAUUAUUAAACUAAUGCGCCUAAAGCAAUUACGAAUUUGCAACUUUGCGAGCGCCAUGGAAAAUUCGCUAAAUCGCGCGCCUUGAUUUCUAAAAAAUAAACAAGUUAAUUAAACGAGGGUUGUGCAUUUAAUACUUUUGUUUGUCACGGCACACCUCGAAUUUCCAUACAAAAUGUGUGCCAAGAAAC